UACAGAGGUCUCAAGCGUUGUUCGGAUUCAUUGGGCGUAAAGGGUGCGUAGGUGGCGCGCUAAGUCAGGUGUGAAAUUUCGGAGCUUAACUCCGAAACUGCAUUCGAUACUGCGGUGCUUGAGGACUGGAGAGGAGACUGGAAUUCAUGGUGUAGCAGUGAAAUGCGUAGAGAUCAUGAGGAAGACCAGUGGCGAAGGCGGGUCCCUGGACAGUUCCUGACACUGAGACACGAAGGCCAGGGGAGCAAACGGG
RNAcentral lists this ribosomal RNA (253 nucleotides) under uncultured bacterium. RNAcentral's name for it is "partial 16S ribosomal RNA". It matches the Rfam family "Bacterial small subunit ribosomal RNA", at positions 524 to 776 of the family's 1533-position model. The record is from RNAcentral.